UAGCAUUUUCGUUUUUAUUUUACAAAUAUUGUCCAAUCAUGGAGUAACUAGGCUCAAAAGAUUUAUCUCAUAAAUUACACAUAAACUGUACAAUUAGUUUUUAUUUUUAUUUAUAUUUAAUGGUCCAUGUAUACAAUCAAAGAUUUGAUGUGACAUGGAAUCUUGAAAUUUGUUACGAAGUAAACAAGACCAAUGGUGGUGCCGUGGCGAAGCUAGAGCAAAUUAGAGGGUGGUGCACUUGUCUUGUGGGUGUAUAGAUUUGUAUUAUAGGAGGUGC
Molecule: long non-coding RNA, 277 nt
Filed under: Sorghum bicolor (sorghum)
Lineage: Eukaryota; Viridiplantae; Streptophyta; Magnoliopsida; Poales; Poaceae
Description: long non-coding RNA (SBIC_LNC018169)
Source: RNAcentral